Cotesia glomerata is the source of this 449-nucleotide long non-coding RNA. RefSeq lists it as uncharacterized. The transcript has 3 exons. NCBI's taxonomy places the organism in Eukaryota, Metazoa, Arthropoda, Insecta, Hymenoptera, Braconidae. The record is from RefSeq and is a predicted model, not a curated record.
UGUGCAUGAUAACUCUUCAAUAUUAUCAAUAUCAUGUUGAAUUGUUAUUGAGGCCAACUCCUUAACAAUGAAGCGAUUAUCAGCUCCUCUGAAUCCUUGAAUGUCUAGAAUGAUCUCCAUUUUUACUGCUCUUGACAACGAAGAGUGACUGAAUGAUGACUCUUACAAUCAAUUCAACCUUUUUAUAACCCGAUCUCUGGAUUUUACCCCCACCACUCGAUAAUCUUAUUGGUUAAUUAUUUUUUCUUGAUUAAUUAAUAAUAAUUUGAUUGGUUAUUCAAACUACACAGUAAAGUUUUGAACUGCGUAGUAGAUGACGUCAUCAGACAGGUUUGAACCUGUUCAAGGUUGUGUAACUGCGCAUUUUUCUUUGUUCUAUUUCUAACUUCGUACUAGAUGACGUCAUCUCAUUUUUACAGGUUAUGUUUAUGCUUUUCCGCCAUUUAACU